GGUUAUCACAACAUUUAAUAAGACUCGCGCCCGAAAGAGAUAGUUCAGUUAUUUUCCAUCAUCCAGAAUGGUUGCGUUCAAAGUUCUUAUUGUAGGGAUGGUAUUUCUCCUGAAAAUUGUUCAGCUUUUGGCCAUUCCAAUACCAACUCCUUCUACCAGCGGUGGUAACCCAUUUCGCCGCCCUUAUGAUGGAUAAUUAUGAAAAAUGUAUAGGGAAAGAAAAGCAAUAAAAGGAUCCAGUUCAAAAGCUUAAAAAUUGUUUAGUAUUUUUAGAAGAACUGAAAUUUGGAUAAUUCGAAACGACAUUUUUUCUUGAAAGCAAUAUAUUAGGAAUAGAAAAACCAAAAGACUGAUUUCAAUAAAUGAAUUGAAUAAUCUAGGUGUUAUAAUCGACAUCGAUUCGUUUUAUAUGCAGCCGCUGUUAUAAAAUAAUAUUUCACCGAAAGAGAUUGUUCAGUUAUUUUCCAUCACCCAGAAUGGUUGCGUUGAAAGUUCUAAUUGUAGGGAUCGUUUUCUUCCUGAGCGUUGUUCAGCUCUUGGCCACCCCCUUGCCAGGUGUGAUUGUUGUGCGCGGCCAAUGCCCGUUCUGCCGUUCAAAUUGAGAUGAUUAAUUAUAGCAUAUAUAUAUGGAAAUAAAGCAAUACAAUAAAUAAAGUGCAAGUUCAAAA
This is a long non-coding RNA of Drosophila biarmipes, 668 nucleotides long. RefSeq lists it as uncharacterized. Lineage: Eukaryota; Metazoa; Arthropoda; Insecta; Diptera; Drosophilidae. The transcript has 4 exons. The record is from RefSeq and is a predicted model, not a curated record.